NNNNNNNGGGGGGGAGGGGGGGGGGGGGAGGGGGGAGAGGGAGGGGGGAGAUGGAGGGAGGAAGAUGGGAGGGGGAGAUGGAAAGGAGGCGGUGGAAGGGAGGAGGUGGAAAGGGGGAGGGAGAUGGAAGGGGUGAUGGAAGGGGGAGAUGGAAGGGAGAAGAUGGAAGUUGGGGAUGGAAGGGGGAGAGGGAGCGGGAUGUGCAGGGCUCAGGGCAGCGCAGGGCAGGAGGCCACCCCGAUGGGGCCAUGGGGACACAGGAGGGACGCGGGGACAUAGGGGACGUGCCUCCCCCCAGCCAUCCCAGUGUGCCCCUCUGCGUCCCUGCGUGGCACACUGCAUCCCAGAGCCUCCCAGUGCCACCCCAGUGCAUUGCAAAGCAUCCCAGUGCAGCCCAGUGCCAUGCCAGUGCCACACCAUUGCAUCCCAGUGCCCCCCCAGGGCAUUCCAGUGGAUGCCAGGGCCAUGCCAGUGCAUCCCAGUGCACUGCAAUGCAGGCCUGUGCCGUCCCAGUGCGCUGCAAAGCAUCCCAGUGCCACCGCAGUGCUUCCCAGGGCUGCCCCCCUGCAUUGCAAUGCAUGCCAAGGACACCCUAGGGCUUUGCAGUGCAUCUCUGUAUCAUCCCAGUGCGCUGCAGUGCCCUCCCGGUACAUUGCAAUGCAUCCCAGGGCCAGCCCAGUGCAUCCCAGUGCAGUGCAAUGCAUCCCAGGGCCAGCCCACUGCAUCCCAGUGCACUGUAGUGCAUCCCAAGGCCGUUCCAGCACAUUGCAAUGCCUCCUGGUGCCCUCCCAGUGCAUCCCAGUGCACCACAAUGCUUCCCAGGGCCAGCCCAGUGCACUGCAGUGCCUCCUGGUGCCCUCCCAGUGCAUUGCAAUGCAUCCUAGUGCCUCCCCAGCACACCCCAGUGCACUGCAACGCAUCCCGGUGCCCUCCCAGUGCAUCCUGGUGCAUUGCAAUACAUCCUGGUGUCCUCCCUCUGCGUUGCAAUACAUCCCAGGGCCACCCCAGUGCAUCCCAGUGCACUGCAAUGGAUCCUGGUGAUCUCCCAGUGCAUUGCAAUGUGUCCCAGUGCCCUCCCAGUGCACUGCAACGCAUCCCAGUGCCCUUCCAGUGCAUCCCGGUGCAUUGCAACACAUCCCAGUGCCCUCCCAGUGCACUGCAACGCAUCCCAGUGCCCUUCCAGUGCAUCCCGGUGCAUUGCAAUGCAUCCCGGUGCCCUCCCAGUGCAUUGCAAUGCAUCCCAGUGCCAUUCCAGUGCAUCCCGGUGCAUUGCAACGUGUCCCAGUGCCCUCCCAGUGCACUGCAAUGCAUCCCAGUGCCCUCCCAGUGCAUUGCAAUGCAUCCCAGUGCCCUUCUAGUGCAUCCCGGUGCAUUGCAACGCGCCCCAGGCCCCCCCCAGCACAUCGCGGCGCACUGCAAUGCAGCCCAGGGCCACGGCGGCA
RNAcentral lists this long non-coding RNA (1442 nucleotides) under Struthio camelus australis. Its description in RNAcentral is "lncRNA (ENSSCUG00000012530.1)". The record is from RNAcentral. Lineage: Eukaryota; Metazoa; Chordata; Aves; Struthioniformes; Struthionidae.